Vombatus ursinus (common wombat) is the source of this 495-nucleotide long non-coding RNA. RefSeq lists it as uncharacterized. The record is from RefSeq and is a predicted model, not a curated record. Lineage: Eukaryota; Metazoa; Chordata; Mammalia; Diprotodontia; Vombatidae. The transcript has 3 exons.
UGCGUAAAAUUUCCCAGAAUUCCCUUUCUCAUCCGGGGAAAAUGGCUGCGAUGGUGCCGGCGGAGUGGACAACGAACUGGGAAAAAUCGGGAAAAUCGAAUUUCUGAAAUUAUGUCGUGUGCUUAGUGAAAAUAAAGGCCAUGAAAAUAAGACUUUCACAGAUAUUCAGCAGGCUUUCUAUGAGCUCUCAAGUCAUGUCAUUCAAGGAAAUCUAAAGCAUGACCAAGCAUCUAAUGUUCUCAGCGACAUUGUUGUGAGUAUUUAGAUGAUUCUGCUUUUCCUUAAAUUUUGUUUUGUAGGGAAGAUAAACAAAUAUAAUGUUCAGAAGCAGUUCUUAGAAAGAAAACUAAUUUUCUUACUGAAGUGACCUUAAUGACAUUAGAAUAUAAAAGUAAUUUUACAUUUUAAAAUCUCUGAUGUCACAAGGUAUUCUUUGAUAAGAACAGGAUUUAUUUUUAGAGUAACAGGAACAUUGUAUAUUACCUGAGGAAAACU